Molecule: ribosomal RNA, 466 nt
Filed under: uncultured bacterium
Lineage: Bacteria
Description: SSU rRNA
Rfam family: Bacterial small subunit ribosomal RNA
Source: RNAcentral
AGGAUAAACGCUGGCGGCGUGCCUUACGCAUGCAAGUCGAACGGUGCCUUUCGGGGCACAGUGGCGGACGGGUGAGUAACACGUACGUGACCUGACGCGAAGCGGGGGAUACCCGUCCGAAAGGGCGGCUAAUACCGCAUGUGGAUCGUGGUGGCAUCACCGAGGAUCCAAAGCCUUCGGGCACUUCAGGAUGGGCCCGCGGCCUAUCAGCUAGUUGGAGGGGUAACGGCCCACCAAGGCUUCGACGGGUAGCUGGUCUGAGAGGACGAUCAGCCGGAUUGGGACUGAGAUACGGCCCAGACUCCUACGGGGGGCAGCAAUUAGGAAUCUUGCACAAUGGGCGAAAGCCUGAUGCAGCGACGUCGCGUGGGGGACGAAAUCUUUCGGGAUGUAAACCCCUUUUGAGUGGGAAGAACAAUGACGGUACCACUCGAAUAAGCCCGGCUAACUACGUGCCAGCAGCCGC